Molecule: ribosomal RNA, 293 nt
Filed under: uncultured bacterium
Lineage: Bacteria
Description: partial 16S ribosomal RNA
Rfam family: Bacterial small subunit ribosomal RNA
Source: RNAcentral
UACCUACGGGGGGCAGCAGUGGGGAAUAUUGCACAAUGGGGGAAACCCUGAUGCAGCGACGCCGCGUGAGUGAAGAAGUAUUUCGGUAUGUAAAGCUCUAUCAGCAGGAACGAGACAAGACGGUACCUGACUAAGAAGCCCCGGCUAACUACGUGCCAGCAGCCGCGGUAAUACGUAGGGGGCAAGCGUUAUCCGGAUUUACUGGGUGUAAAGGGAGCGUAGACGGCUGCGCAAGUCUGAAGUGAAAGCCCGGGGCUCAACCCCGGGACUGCUUUGGAAACUGUGUAGCUAGA